RNAcentral lists this ribosomal RNA (468 nucleotides) under uncultured bacterium. Its description in RNAcentral is "partial 16S ribosomal RNA". It matches the Rfam family "Bacterial small subunit ribosomal RNA", at positions 28 to 507 of the family's 1533-position model. The record is from RNAcentral.
GACGAACGCUGGCGGCGUGCUUAACACAUGCAAGUCGAACGGAAAGGCCCUGCUUUUGUGGGGUGCUCGAGUGGCGAACGGGUGAGUAACACGUGAGUAACCUGCCCUUGACUUUGGGAUAACUUCAGGAAACUGGGGCUAAUACCGGAUAGGAGCUCCUGCUGCAUGGUGGGGGUUGGAAAGUUUCGGCGGUUGGGGAUGGACUCGCGGCUUAUCAGCUUGUUGGUGGGGUAGUGGCUUACCAAGGCUUUGACGGGUAGCCGGCCUGAGAGGGUGACCGGCCACAUUGGGACUGAGAUACGGCCCAGACUCCUACGGGAGGCAGAAGUGGGGAAUAUGGCAGAAUGGGCGGAAGCCUGAGGCAGCAACGCCGCGUGCGGGAUGACGGCCUUCGGGUUGUAAACCGCUUUCGCCUGUGACGAAGCGUGAGUGACGGUAAUGGGUAAAGAAGCACCGGCUAACUACGUG